RNAcentral lists this ribosomal RNA (402 nucleotides) under uncultured bacterium. RNAcentral describes it as "bacterial SSU rRNA". It matches the Rfam family "Bacterial small subunit ribosomal RNA", at positions 359 to 776 of the family's 1533-position model. The record is from RNAcentral.
GAAUAUUCGACAAUGGGGGAAACCCUGAUCGAGCGACGCCGCGUGUGGGAUGACGCCCUGCGGGGUGUAAACCACUUUUCUGCUUGAGGAAUUUUUGACGUUAGAGCAGGAAUAAGGGGCUGCUAACUUCGUGCCAGCAGCAGCGGUAAUACGAAGGCCCCAAGCGUUAUCCGGAAUUAUUGGGCGUAAAGGGUCCGUAGGCGGUGUGUAUUGUUGUGGGUGAAAGCUCCCGGCUCAACUGGGAAAACGCUCACAAAACGUGCACGCUAGAGGAUGUGAGAGGCAUGUGGAACUCAUGGUGUAGGGGUGAAAUCCGUUGAUAUCAUGGGGAACACCAAAGGCGAAGGCAACAUGCUGGCGCACUCCUGACGCUGAGGGACGAAAGCGUGGGUAGCGAAUGGG